This 443-nucleotide ribosomal RNA is filed under the name uncultured bacterium. Its description in RNAcentral is "partial 16S ribosomal RNA". It matches the Rfam family "Bacterial small subunit ribosomal RNA", at positions 338 to 795 of the family's 1533-position model. The record is from RNAcentral.
CCUACGGGGGUCAGCAGUGGGGAAUAUUGGGCAAUGGGCGCAAGCCUGACCCAGCAACGCCGCGUGAAGGAAGAAGGCCCUCGGGUUGUAAACUUCUUUUAUUCGGGACGAAACAAAUUACGGUACCGAAUGAAUAAGCCACGGCUAACUACGUGCCAGCAGCCGCGGUAAUCCGUAGGUGGCAAGCGUUAUCCGGCUUUACUGGGUGUAAAGUGCGUGUAGGCGGGAGAGCAAGGCAGACGUGAAAGUCCAGGGCUCAACGCUGGAAGUGCGUUUGAAACUGUUCUUCUUGAGUGAUGGAGAGGCAGGCGGAAUUCCGGGUGUAGCGGUGAAAUGCGUAGAGAUACGGAGGAACACCAGUGGCGAAGGCGGCCUGAUGGACAUUAACGGACGCUGAGGCGCGAAAGCGUGGGGAGCAAACAGGAUUAGAUACCCUAGUAGUC